ACCAGCUCCCACUGAAAACCUCUGGCUCCAGCAUGUGCACCAGCUGCCAACUUAGGGAUGGCAAGUGUGCACACUAGUCCUGCACUGAAGGAAACGAAUCGCCCUGCUUGCUGAGCCGCCCUCGUGUGAUCUAAUUCUGUUAAGUAGCUCUCCACUUCCCUGCUCGACUGCCAUGCCCUGCAUUUCCUAGAGAUGACGCACACAACUGAUGACCUCUGCAGCCCGCGAGCAGUGUCAGGCACAGCAAGUACUAUGCUAUGGGCAGAAUCCCACUAGAAAUUACUUUUUUUUUAAAAUUUAAGUUAAAGCUAAAAAGUAAUGAGAUGUCAAAAUAUAACAAAAAUCAUUUUCGCAACUAUGCCUCCUGUAUACACUUGCCAUUUGAAAAUUUAGAUUUUACAAUCGCUAACGUUUUCUGCGAGCGAAAACAGGCCUGGAGAAAAUGCGAUAAACGAUACAGCAAGUUUCAGUUUGAUCUUGUGUUCCCAUUUCUGAAGGCAGAUGAUGCUUGUGGGAUAGGAAGCCAACAAACGCAGGUUCAUUUGAGGUCUCUAUCUAGGGUAUUCUUUCUCAUUUUAUGCGAAACCAGAAGCUAGCGAGCUAAGGUUGGCACCUGAAAGUACUUGAUGGGAGACUGGGGUUGGGGAUUUCUUUCAAAGCUAAGCAAAAAUGCUGAAGACUGAGAAGAUAUCACAGACUAAGAACAUAUCAAAGACUGCGAACAUAUCCAGCUAUUUAAACGAACGGUGGAAACAAGCAGGUGAGCUGCUGGCUGCUCUGAAGAGCACUGGAAAACUCAAGCUGCAGUACAAUGGAGAAAAGUACUAUAUCUCACCUCGCUGCUUCGAGUCCGCGGGACAGCUGGAAAUUCACCCUGCCUUAGCCUGGCCUGCAAGAACCCCAACCUCUAAGGCUAAGACGCCCUCCAUUGCUGGUUGAGGCUCUUUCACCUAGAACUAAGAAGCUGCCCCGAGGGAAGACUCAUCACGGGAGGGCCUUGACCCAUUGACGAUGCCUCCUGAGGCACACACAGGACAGGGAGUCACAAGGUGACAAUGGAUGGAGCCACUGCUGCUGUUCACCUCUGCAUUUGUCUCUCUCACUAGGAUAUAAGCUCUUCAAGGACAAGGAUUGUGAUUGUCUCUGUCCUUAAGUUAAUGCAGGUAAUACAAACAUACAUGUCACGUGUAAAAAAUAACUCAGAGGAUCAAAUCUAUCUACUGAUCCACAAUAACAGCAGUAUUUCUGUGUCAUUCUAUAACCGAUAUGUACACUUGUCAUUUAUUAAUAAAACUAGCCUCUCUAUACUGUUCA
Non-coding RNA from Myodes glareolus (Bank vole), 1314 nucleotides. The record is from RefSeq and is a predicted model, not a curated record. NCBI's taxonomy places the organism in Eukaryota, Metazoa, Chordata, Mammalia, Rodentia, Cricetidae.